UUAGGGUCAGUUGCUAGUCUAUAUAUGUUUCUGGACACCGUAAGUGAUGUGUGGCUUGUUGCGAGCGGAGGUCAGUAGUAACUGUUUGAACUGUGUUGGGGGAGGAUGUGUCCGGGUGUGGCUGACCAGCCGGUGGUAAAUACUCUUUCGGCUGCUACAGCUCUCCAGCCCAGGGUGUCGACUGCCUAGUCUUCAACUGCCUCCCAACAUGGUAGCAAGGUCCUGAGCUGAUGUACCCUAUGGCGAAGAUUGAGGAAGUAGUUUCCUGAAGUAAUGAAUGGCACUUUAUAACCAGCAGCCGGCACCAGCUCUGGACAACGUCGGAGUGGACAAGGCCCAGAUCCCGUGGGGAGGAAGGUCUACACUAACAUGUAAAAGAACAUAGAUUGGAAAGUCCUAAACUACAUUCCUGGAGUUUGAAGGUGUUGAUUGACAUUCAGAAUCAGAUUACAAUGGUAUCCAAGCAUUGACUGACUUGAAGUGUGGCUGUUCUACUCUGCACAUCUAUGAAGCUGGUUGUGGAGGGUCCUUCCAACAUAAUUUCAGGGAUGGUGUACAGAACAAUUGGUGAAAGUUAUGCUACAGAAACUAGUUGUGUGUGAGAAUUAGUUGGUAAAAAACAUGGAUUGGGAAGUCCUAAACUACAUCCUAGAGUUUGAAGGUGUUGAUUGUUUGACAUUCAGACUCAGGUUGUGGAGGGUCCUUCCAACAUAAUUUCAGGGAUGGUGUACAGAACAAUUGGUGAAAGUUAUGCUACAGAAAAUAGCAGUUGUGAGAAUUAGUUGGUAAAAAAUAUGGAUUGGGAAGUGCAGAACUACAUCCUGGAGUUUGAAAGUGUUGAAUGCUUAACAUUCAGAAUAAGGUGAUAAUGAAGAUUACAAUGGUACCAAAGCAGUGAGGCUAUUCUACUUCACACAUCCAAUAAACUGGUGGAUGUUGUCCUUGUUACUCUGGAGUUUUCCCUGUCCUUUUGGAGUCUUCAGUGGAUUGCAUCUAGGAGGAGCAGCUUCCCACAAC
This is a non-coding RNA of Procambarus clarkii (red swamp crayfish), 1017 nucleotides long. Lineage: Eukaryota; Metazoa; Arthropoda; Malacostraca; Decapoda; Cambaridae. The record is from RefSeq and is a predicted model, not a curated record.